GAUGAACGCUAGCGGCAGGCCUAACACAUGCAAGUCGAGGGAGAAGCCCUUUCGGGGGCAGAAACCGGCGCACGGGUGCGUAACGCGUAUGCAACCUACCUUUCACAGGGGGAUAGCCCGAAGAAAUUUGGAUUAAUACCCCAUAAUAUUAUUGGAUGGCAUCAUUUGAUAAUUAAAACUGCGGUGGUGAAAGAUGGGCAUGCGUCCUAUUAGCUAGUUGGAGUGGUAACGGCACCCCAAGGCUACGAUAGGUAGGGGUCCUGAGAGGGAGAUCCCCCACACUGGUACUGAGACAGGGACCAGACUCCUACGGGAGGCAGCAGUGAGGAAUAUUGGUCAAUGGUCGGAAGACUGAACCAGCCAUGCCGCGUGCAGGAAGAAUGCCUUGUGGGUUGUAAACUGCUUUUAUAUGGGAAGAAUAAGGCGUACGUGUACGUUGAUGACGGUACCAUAUGAAUAAGCAUCGGCUAACUCCGU
This 477-nucleotide ribosomal RNA is filed under the name uncultured bacterium. RNAcentral's name for it is "partial 16S ribosomal RNA". It matches the Rfam family "Bacterial small subunit ribosomal RNA", at positions 28 to 506 of the family's 1533-position model. The record is from RNAcentral.